This 375-nucleotide ribosomal RNA is filed under the name uncultured bacterium. RNAcentral describes it as "bacterial SSU rRNA". It matches the Rfam family "Bacterial small subunit ribosomal RNA", at positions 524 to 898 of the family's 1533-position model. The record is from RNAcentral.
AACGUAGGUGGCAAGCGUUGUUCGGAAUUACUGGGUGUAAAGGGAGCGCAGGUGGGCGUGCAAGUUGAAUGUGAAAUGUAUGGGCUCAACCCAUAAAUUGCGUUCAAAACUGUGCGUCUUGAGUGGAGUAGAGGCAGGCGGAAUUCCAGGUGUAGCGGUGGAAUGCGUAGAUAUCUGGGGGAACACCAGUGGCGAAGGCGGCCUGCUGGGCUCUAACUGACACUGAGGCUCGAAAGCGUGGGUAGCAAACAGGAUUAGAUACCCUGGUAGUCCACGCCGUAAACGAUGAUUACUAGGUGUGGGGGGAUUGACCCCCUCCGUGCCGCAGUUAACACAAUAAGUAAUCCACCUGGGGAGUACGACCGCAAGGUUGAA